UUAACCCUCCUAAAGGCACCAGGAAGACUACCUGGUUGAUAGGGUGGAGGUCUAAGUACCGUAAGGUAUUCAGCCGACCACUACUAAUUUGCCGUGAGGCUUGACCAU
Molecule: ribosomal RNA, 108 nt
Filed under: Treponema sp.
Lineage: Bacteria; Pseudomonadati; Spirochaetota; Spirochaetia; Treponematales; Treponemataceae
Description: partial 23S ribosomal RNA
Rfam family: Bacterial large subunit ribosomal RNA
Source: RNAcentral